GACGAACGCUGGCGGCGUGCUUAACACAUGCAAGUCGAACGGAAAGGCCUGCUUUCCCUUGUGGAUUGCGGGUACUCGAGUGGCGAACGGGUGAGUAACACGUGAGUGAUCUGCCCCCAACUUGGGUAUAAGCCUGGGAAACUGGGUCUAAUUCCCGAUAGGACUGCAGGGUGGUGCCUGUGGUGGAAAACGAUUUUCUAGUGGUUGGGGAUGAGCUCGCGGCCUAUCAGCUUGUUGGUGGGGUAAUGGCCUACCAAGGCGGCGACGGGUAGCCGGCCUGGGAGGGUGGACCGGCACAUUGGGAAUGGGCCACGGCCCAGAGUGCGACGGGAGGAAGGAGUGGGGAAUAUUGGACAAUGGGCGGAAGGCUGAUGGAGCGACGCGGCGUGGGGGAUGACGGACUGCGGGGUGUAAUCUCCUGUCGACCGCGAGUAAGCCACCUGGUUGGAAGGGUGGUGACGGUAGUGGUAGAAGAAGCACCGGCUAACUACGUG
This 494-nucleotide ribosomal RNA is filed under the name uncultured bacterium. RNAcentral describes it as "partial 16S ribosomal RNA". It matches the Rfam family "Bacterial small subunit ribosomal RNA", at positions 28 to 507 of the family's 1533-position model. The record is from RNAcentral.